CCCUGGAUGGCUCAGUCUAUUGAGCGUCUGACUUCAACUCAGGUCAUGCUCUCACGGCUUGUGGGUUCAAGCCCCACGUCGGGCU
RNAcentral lists this transfer RNA (85 nucleotides) under Felis catus (domestic cat). It matches the Rfam family "tRNA". From Rfam's summary of the family: Transfer RNA (tRNA) molecules are approximately 80 nucleotides in length. Their secondary structure includes four short double-helical elements and three loops (D, anti-codon, and T loops). The record is from Rfam by way of RNAcentral. Lineage: Eukaryota; Metazoa; Chordata; Mammalia; Carnivora; Felidae.